Molecule: ribosomal RNA, 695 nt
Filed under: uncultured bacterium
Lineage: Bacteria
Description: bacterial SSU rRNA
Rfam family: Bacterial small subunit ribosomal RNA
Source: RNAcentral
AGAGUUUGAUCAUGGCUCAGAACGAACGCUGGCGGCAGGCUUAACACAUGCAAGUCGAACGAUAUAGUGGCAGACGGGUGAGUAACGCGUGGGAACGUACCUUUCACUACGGAAUAGCUCUUGGAAACGAGUGGUAAUACCGUAUACGCCCUUCGGGGGAAAGAUUUAUCGGUGAAAGAUCGGCCCGCGUUAGAUUAGCUAGUUGGUAGGGUAAUGGCCUACCAAGGCGACGAUCUAUAGCUGGUCUGAGAGGAUGAUCAGCCACACUGGGACUGAGACACGGCCCAGACUCCUACGGGAGGCAGCAGUGGGGAAUCUUGCACAAUGGGCGAAAGCCUGAUGCAGCCAUGCCGCGUGAAUGAUGAAGGCCUUAGGGUUGUAAAAUUCUUUCGCUAGGGAUGAUAAUGACAGUACCUAGUAAAGAAGCCCCGGCUAACUUCGUGCCAGCAGCCGCGGUAAUACGAAGGGGGCUAGCGUUGUUCGGAAUUACUGGGCGUAAAGCGCACGUAGGCGGACUUUUAAGUCAGAUGUGAAAUCCCGGGGCUCAACCUCGGAACUGCAUUUGAAACUGGAAGUCUAGAGACCAGGAGAGGUUAGCGGAAUACCGAGUGUAGAGGUGAAAUUGGUAGAUAUUCGGUGGAACACCAGUGGCGAAGGCGGCUAACUGGACUGGUACUGACGCUGAGGUGCGAAAG